Molecule: ribosomal RNA, 528 nt
Filed under: uncultured Chloroflexota bacterium
Lineage: Bacteria; Bacillati; Chloroflexota
Description: bacterial SSU rRNA
Rfam family: Bacterial small subunit ribosomal RNA
Source: RNAcentral
GAGGAAUAUUGAGCAAUGGGCGCAAGCCUGACUUCAGCAACGCCGCGUGGACGAUGACGGCCUUCGGGUUGUAAAGUCCUUUUCUGAGGGACGAUGAUGACGGUACCUCAGGAACAAGUCCCGGCUAACUACGUGCCAGCAGCCGCGGUAAAACGUAGGGGGCGAGCGUUAUCCGGAUUUACUGGGCGUAAAGCGCAUGUAGGCGGUUUGGAAAGUUGGACGUGAAAGCUCCUGGCUUAACUGGGAGAGGUCGUUUCGAUACUACCAGACUGGAGGUUGGAAGAGGAGAGUUGGAAUUCCCGGUGUAGUGGUGGAAUGCGUAGAUAUCGGGAGGAACACCAGUGGCGAAAGCGGCUCUCUGGACCAAUUCUGACGCUGAGAUGCGAAAGCGUGGGGAGCAAACGGGAUUAGAUACCCCGGUAGUCCACGCUGUAAACGAUGGAGACUAGGUGUCGGCGGUCAUUUACCCCGUCGGUGCCGCAGCUAACGCGUUAAGUCUCCCGCCUGGGGACUACGGCCGCAAGGUUA